AGCGAUGUUACUUUCCCAGAAAUCUGUGGAAACUCUAUGAGAUUAACACAAUAGGAGAAAUCAAUAGUUACUGGACAAACAAAAUGAAGAUUGCUAGGAAAAGACCUAAGACUUUUGCAGCCCAUAAAAUCCAACCUACUGAGAUACUUGAAAUUCUGGAUAUAUGAGGGAACACAAGCCAAGUUUGUAUAAUCCAAAAGAUAUGUUUCAACAUUUGGGGUUUCUAAUGGGCCUGGCAUCUUAAUGAAAUGUCGAGAAUGGCUGAGGUUAAUAGAUUUUAACUUGAAAGCUUCCUGCAAUAACAGAUAUAUAAAGACUAUAUUAAUUAAAAAGCAACAUUGAAUUCAACAAUUAAUUGCACGUAUAUUUAAAGAAAGAAAAAAUUAAUGUUUUAGUUUUAGUACAGAACUUACCUUUUCUCCUUCCCAAAGUUGCUCAACUUUACUAAAACGCAAAUUCAGUUCAACAAGGUUCUUUGGCUUGAAAUUUGAUGGCAGUGUCCUUAAGGGAUAUGUGUCCCAAUGAAGAUAUCUCAAUUUUUUAGGAAGAUAAUCUAGGCCAUUUGGAAGCUGCACUUUAGAGUAUGAAAGUUGCUCUUCAAUGCUCAUACUUAGAAACUUUUCAAUCUCAGGUACAUAAAAUUUGAGCAAUCUUAGAUUAGACAUUUUUGUGAAGGCUCCAGGGUCUAAAUUGAUGCCUUUUAUUUUGGACAAAUCCAGAAAUAUGCCUUCAAUUGCAUCGGUCCCCUUAUUAAAAAAAAAAACAAAGAAUGAGUAACCCUAAAACAGAAAAGAAACAUUCGCAAACUUUAUUAACUAAGAACUCCUUAAACAAAAACAAAUUCUGCAAUCUUUGAUUUUAUUUUUUAAAAAUAUUAAAUAUCUAUAUAUGAGAAAAGAAAAUUUUGGGGACCAUUGCAAAAUUAAACUAACCAAAAAAAAAAUUCAAAAUUUCUCUAAUUUACAAACCUGUUAUCUUAAUAUCUAGAAGUUGAGAAGACAAGGCGUAUUUGAUUGGUAUAAGAUUUCGAUUUUUUUUUUAGUCCAUAGAAUCCAAAAUGUUUGUUCAAAAUCAGGGAAAAAAACGAAAGUUAUUUUUUUUUCCACUAGCUGUAAUUGUAUCCAAGUCAAAUUGAGAUACGACCCUUUUCGAAAGGAUUUAAUCAUCUUAUAGCCUCCUUAAGAUACAUUUAAGCUAAAAGGAGUGAUUGGAGGCAGAACUUAGUGGGCCAAUCAGUUCAUUUUAUUAGCGACUGUUGCUUAAAAAAAAUUAUACUCUAAAACACACUUACUUUUUUGAAAAAAAAUAUAAUUAUAUUUAAGUAGAACCAGGUGGGCCAAUCCUCAUGGCACUCACUUUGUUCUGACACUCUUCACUAAAUUUGAAGAAAAAUAAAAUUAUACUCUUCACACUCUUAUUCAACAUUCCAAAAUUGAUAAAAUCUGGAGUUUUCUUUAAAAUUUUAAAAUUUGAAGACUUGUUCUCUUGACACCCUCAGUCAUUAAUUUUACCUAAUUAUGGUUUUGGUUGUUUUGUUCAUAAAAAUGCUUUUACUAAAGGAUGUUCUGGUAAUGAAAAAAUUUAUAAAAAAACAAACAUGGGUGUGCUGAUAUAGUUGGAAAAAUAUGAGUGCAUAACUCCAAACAAAUAAAAGAUACAUAAAAAAAAAAAAGGAGGAUUCUUACCAUAUUAUGCUUUAGUACGCGGCGGAUUUCCUUAGGAUCCCACAACCUACUGCGUCUGCCUGGCUCUUCCUCAGAUUCUUGGCGAACAAUCUCUCGGCCCAUUUCUUGCAAUAAAUCAUGCAUUUGCAAGCAGUUAUCUGACACUGUUAUAAGUGACUUGUCCACGAGGACAUCCAGUCUGUGAGACCCAGAAUCAUCAAGUAUCCUUAACACAAAAUCUUUAUCCUCUCCCUCAAGGAAACACGCAAUAUCUAGAAACAUACUCUUCACCCUGGGCGUUAAUUCUUUAAAACUAAUCUUUAAUGUAUCAUAAAUACCAUGAAUAUCAGAUUCACAAAUCCGAUUUAAGUCGUCCAAUACAUUUUCCCAAUGGCUUUUCCCCUUGAGAUACAGGGAGGAACCCAACACUUUAAGAACUAAUGGAUUGCCAUCGGCAUACCAUACAACCCUCCAUGAGUGCCGGUAGAGAUCUUCAGGACAAUGAUUUUCUUUAACAGCGAAGUUACAAAAAUGCUCGAAAGCCUCAUCAAAUUUCAAUCCAUUGACCCUAUAUAUUUUCUCCACUCCAAAUUUUUCGAGGACUCGUUUAUCCCUGGUGGUUACAACAAUUCUACUUCCUGGACCAUAUUGAUCAAGCCCUCCAAUCAAACCCUCUAAUUGUUCAUCUUUAUUCACAUCAUCGAGUACAAUCAACACCUUCAUGCGUCGGACCCUCCCUUUAGUAAAUUGUGGAAUAUUGGGACCAGCUACUUCAAGUUUUUCACUUAAUAUUGUCGAAAGCAUUUCCUUUUGUAGGUCUUCUAGGCCACCCUCUGUUUCUGAUUUUCUCCUAACAUUUUUUGCAAAGUAUUUACCAUCAAACUCACCAGAGAAUUGAUCGAAAAUAGCUUCAGCAAGGGUAGUUUUGCCUAUACCACCCGUGCCCCAAAUUCCAACAAUAUGGACAGUAUCCCACAAAUCCAUACACAGAAAUGGUUUAAUCUGCUCAAUUCGUGAAUUUAAUCCAACUAGGCCAUUGGAUGAGUCCGUUGAGACUGUUAUUUUUUCCAACUUCUUCAAAACAUCAUCGACAAUUUUGUUUACAAGUUCCGCAUCGUGCCUAAUAUAAAGGUGCAAAGAUGCAAAAACAUUGAGUCAAAUCGGGCCAAGACAGAAACAGAGAAAAGAUGAAUUAGGAAAGAGAGUUACCUGAAUUUCGUGGAUUCAUGGCCGGCUAGAUGGGAUGUUUCUGUCAGUGCAUCCCUCCACUUCUGAACCAUUUCUGGUUUAUCUUCGAACUGUUUUUUGAGCUCAUCAAAACGGUCUCCAAAUGUUCCGUUUUGAUGCCGCACAUCAGAUGGACUUACUCCAUAGAAGACUGGAAUAAUAAUUUGGCCGUUUGUGUUCUUGCAUUCAAGAAUCUUGACAAGUUCAUUCAGGCACCAUUUUGAAGAAGCGUAGUCCUUUGAGAAAAUGACCACCGAAAUUUUUGAACCUUGGAUUGCGUUCAAAAGGGCGGGUGAAAUCUCAUCUCCUCGCCUAAGCUCUUCAUCAUCAAUAAAUGUUUUGAUUUUUUUUCCUUCAUACAAUUUAUCAUAAAGAUAGCAAGUAAAGCUCUUACGAGUGUCCUCCCCUCUAAAGUUGAGGAAGACUUCAUAAUUGCAAGAAGAAGAAGAGGAAGCCAUGAAGGAAAUUCUAGAAAUUUGAAAGUAGAUUUAGGGAAUUAUAAAAAGCUGAAGGAAAUUGGAAUUUUGUACAGUUUCUCCAGCGAGGAACUUUCACCUCCGCACUAGAUUCUUAAGUUUUGAAAAUUAUGAGACCUUUAUAUUGGAAGAUAUUAUAAUCGAAUCAAAACUUAAAAUUUUAAUAUUGUUAAUCUUUAAUCUUUAAAAAAAAAUUACCUCGCCGUUACAGUUUGGAUUAAGAUUUGAGCAAGCAUUUACCUAAAUUUUAUCUCCGCCUGUAAAUUCUUAUGUUUUAAAAAUUAUGAGACCUUUAUAUUGGGAGAUAUUAUAAUCGAAUCAAAAUUUUGAAUUUCAAUAUUAUUAUUCUUUUAAAAAAAAAAUUGAGAUAACAGAGUGAUUGAUAAUAUAGGAGAACUUGUCUAGGCAAGCACAUGCAUACACAGAAAUGUGAUGGAUUCAAAAAGAAAUUAAAGUGAUAAUGUACGUGGAUCCUUAAAAUAAAAAGCGAAAUCGCUUGGUGGCCCAGUAAAAUUAGAGAACAAAGAAGAAUUAGUUAUUGAUAUACAAAAGAGAAACACUCCAAAAUUUCAAGCAAAAAUAGUUUCAUAUACCAUUUCAAUUUUGUAAGGGGUGAGGUUUUGAAUUUCAAUAGUUUCCUCUAAAAUCAAAAGGCAACAAUUAAGUUAGAAAGAGCAAAGAAGACUUAUUAGUACCUUAUUAAAGGUAACAUUAUGGAACUUUCAAUUUCAUUACCUCACUCUUCAAUUUUUAUUGAGAUUUGUGCAAGAAUUUACCUAAAUAUUACCUAAAAUUGAGAUAUCAGAGUAAUAUCAAAUAGAAAAACUUGCCACGGUAAGCCAAAAGUCUAGUCAACCACAUGCAUAAAGCUAAAUAGAACAACUAACAAGAGAACAGAGAAACGCGUGGGUCCCUAAAAGAAAAGGCAAGCACAUAGAUGAAAAAGCCAUUACAUUUCGAUUUUACAUGUCAUUAAUUUCUGUAACACGGUGUGUGGCAGCAUAUGCACAAUCAAGUGAGGCAAAAGGGAUUCGAUUAUCGUGGCAGAACAUGAACGAGGACGCGUGAUGAAUAAUUCCUUCGAUAAAACGAAAAACAAACGCAGAGAAAAGAAUUUCUUAUAUGACAAGAAAUCAAAGAAAUCAAAGUAAUGUUUCAUUUUCCCUUCCCUACCUUUUUUUUGUUUUAUUUUUAUAGCAAAGAAUUAUAUCAUGAAAAGAAUCAAUUUAAUCACCUUUUCUAGCAGCACAAUUUUUCUUUUAUAAAAUUUGACCAGGGAGACAAAGAAUAAUUAUUCAUACCUUCAUCACUAAGGAAAUACUUUUCGGUAUGGCUAAGGUGAGAAAAGGCUUUCCACAAAAACUUGUACUUUGUAUUCCUGUAAAUUUUCUUUAAAGUCAAUAAAAACCAUAAGUUCUUUACAAUAACCAUCUCUUUGAUAAAAAAGUGCCGUAUUCCUUUAGAAUUUAAAACCGGCAAAACUGAAUCAGUGUCUUUGAAGAGACAUAAUGGUCGUAAUUCUUUAAAUGAGUUGGCUAUGGAAAUCGUUAUCCAAGAUUCUUUUACGCCAUAUUCUUUCGUAAACCAAAAUUCAUUUUGGAAUACUCUGUUGAGAAUGUCAAAUAAAACGGCAUUGAAGGAAGUUUUCAAAGGCAGAAUCUGCACUUGUCAGAUGGAUGAUCUGCACUUGUCAAAGACACAAUCCGCGUCGAACGAAUCGACACAUUUCCUUUCGUAUUCACAUAUGCAAUUUUUGAAAAAAUGUAGCUUUUACAUCUAUAAAUAACACUCAGUGUAUAAUGUUUUAUUCAAGAAAAGAAAACAAGUUUCUUCAUGGUAUCAGAGCCAUGAAUACGCUCAAGUUUCUUCAAGUUUCGCUGCUCUGUUUGUAACAAAAACAGAGAAAACCAAAAUCUUCCCACAACCAUUUUUUCCACCAUUUUCUUCCUUAAAAUCAUUCCUACCAUUAUAGAAAUCCAUGCCGAUCAAAAAACAAGCCACCCAUACGUAAAAAACUUGAGUUUACAAAUUUAUCAACAAUCUCAUAAAUUAGAUACAAAACAACGUGAUGUUAAAUCUCCAGAACUGCAGCAGUCUUAAAACGACAUGUCGUUUCUAUUCCAUCAGAACCGACAUAUCAUUUCUUUAAGCAGAGGCCAAACGACUUGUCGUUUUUUUUUUUAUCUAAAAAAGUUAUUUUUUCUUAUUUCAAUCUAGACGCCAAAAAAAAAACAAAAAAAUGGAGAAAACUCCAACUGAAUCUGAUCCUGUUGUCAUUCAAUCUGUUCAAUCUGAUGAGUAUUUAAUGUUGGAAUUAUCUUCACUGAGACAAACUACGAUAUUUGGUCUUAAAUAAUGGAGUUGCAUCUCGCAGAAAGAGAAAAACUCUCAUAUAUUUGUAGCAACACAAAGUCAUCUGAGGAAUCUUCAAAGGAAUAUGAGAAAUGGUAUAGUGAGAAUGAAAAGGUAAAAAAAUGGUUACUCAUAUCCAUGUCUCUGGAUAUCAUGAAGUGAUAUUUACGAAUUCCUACAGCCUACGAAAUAUGGGAUGCAUUAUCAAAAGCCUUCUAUGAUGGAAUCGAUGAAUUACAAGUUUUCACUCUAAACCAGAAGGCGUCUCUACCAAGAAAAAUUGACAGCCACUAUCUAAAUUCUACGGAGAAUUGAUCGAAAUAUUUUGAGAACUUGAUCACCGAGAUAAAGUGAUCAUGAAGGAUCCAGAAGAUGUUGUAAUAUACAAAAGGUCUGUUGAAAGAUUGAGAGUUCACAUUUUUCUUGUUGGGCUAGAUGAAGAAUUUAACCAAGUUCGUGGAGAAAUUCUAUGAAAAGAUAUUAUCCCAGACUUAGAAGAAUGUUAUUCUUUGAUCUGAAGAGAAGAUGUACGGCAAAACAAACUAAACAAGAAGGUCGACUCAGAAACGUUUGCUAUGAUAGCACGACAACAGCCUCAAAGGAAGCUUGUUGACAAGUCAUCACUCCAUUGCACUCAUUGUAGGAAGAAGGGUCAUAUGAAAGCACAAUAUUUUGAAAUCAUUUGAUAUCCUGACUGGUGGGAUACUUGAAAGAAAAACAUCAAGCAGGGAUAAAAAACUGCAGUAGCUGAAUCCACAUCCACUACAGAUCUUAGAAAAGAAUCUUCAGUGCAAAUCGCAACCUCUGUUAGUCCAGGUAAGGCCCUUAAAACUCUUAUACUUGUUAUUAAUAGUACAUGGAUAAUUGAUUCUGGGGCAACUGAUCAUAUGACUUUUGAUUCUCGACAAGUUUCUCAAUUGAUACCAUCUUCACAAAAACAUGUUUCCACUCCAAAUGGAACCACAACCUUAGUUAUUGGGGAAGGAUCUUUACGACUCACAUAUAAAUUAAAUUUAGACUCUGUGUUAAUUGUUCCAUCUUUAGAUUAUAAUCUUUUAUCUGUGUCUCAAUUAACCACUUACUUAUCAUGUGUUGUAAUUUUUUGGCCUGAUCAUUGUGUGUUUAAAGACAUCCAAACGAAGCAAACGAUUGGUUAUGGUAUUAGACGGGGCCACUUGUACUAUUUGGAGAUGACAUCAACAAACACUGGAAAGCUAAGCCCUGCACUAGUCGCAGAUAGUUCCAUAAAAAAAAGGAAAUCAGAAAUUUGGUUAUGGCAUAGACGUUUAGGGCAUGUGUCAUUUGGUUACUUAAAAAAAUUAUUUCCUAGUUUAUUUCUGAAAUUUGAUAUUUGUAACUUUAAAUGUGAUGUUUGUGAACUUUUAAAAAGUCAUCGAACUACUUUUCCAUUGUCCUUAAAUAAGAAUCAAGUUCCUUUUAUGGUAGUACAUUCUGAUGUAUGGGGGCCAUCGAAAGUUUCUACAAUUGGAGGUGCUCGUUGGUUUGUUACAUUUAUUGAUGAUUGUAGCAGAAUGACAUAGAUUUUUCUGAUGAAAUCGAAAGACGAAGUAAACUCUUUAUUUUAAAGAUUUCAUAAGAUGGUGACGACUCAAUUUCAGACACAAAUUCGAGUUCUACAUACUGAUAAUGGAGGCGAGUAUAUGAGCACAACAAUUCAACAGUUUCUGAAAUCACAAGGAACUGUCCAUCAAACCACUUGUGUGGGGACACCCCAACAAAAUGGCAUUGUUGAACGAAAAAACAGACAUUUACUAGAAGUUGUUCGAGCAUCACUAAUCCAGGCCCACAUGCCACUAUCUUAUUAGGGAGAAGCACUGGCAUCCGCAGCAUACUUGAUCAAUCGAACACCUUCAAGCUCCCUUGGAUUCCAGACUCUUUUCCAGGUUCUAAAUGAUGCAAUUAUGUCACCAAAUGUGCCGAAUUUACCCCCACAUGUGUUUGGCUGUGUUGCCUUCGUUCAUUUGCCGCAACAAGACAAAUUAUCUCCUCGAGCACUACGUUGUGUGUUUGUAGGGUAUGCCUUACAGCAAAAGGGAUACCGAUGAUAUGAUCCACCAUCAAGAAAAAUAUACAUCACCAUGGAUGUCGUCUUUCAUGAAGAUAUCAUAUACUACUUGUCAAAGCCUGAAUUUCAGGGGGAGUAUAAUGAAGAGGAAAUUCAUAAUCUUAUAUAUCUUCCACCUAAAGAAGAUCAAUCUUCCAUUGAGGUUGUAAACCUUCAAGAUACUGGAAAAGAAAAUGGUGGUGAUUCUCAGGCUGAGAUAAGUGAAGACACAUUUGGGGAGCAAAAUAACUUAGACACAACUGCAAUCGAGAAUGAGUCACAUGAAGAAAUACCUAACUAAUCGUCUGCAGAGGAUGUUCCUACCACAAGUCCUAGUCUAGUCAGAAGAAUUCUUCCUCAGCGUCAAAAUAGAGGUAUCCCUAAACCCACAUAUGAGCCCGACCUUUCUAGUAGAGUCAAAUACCCUAUGAUUUAUUUUGUGUCUAACCAUCGCUUGUCAGAAUCAAAUCAGUCAUUUGUGAAUCAAUUAUCUACUGUAUCUAUUCCUAAUAGUGUGCAGGAAGCCUUAAAAGACCCAAAGUGGAAAGCGACUAUGAAUGACGAAAUGUGAUCUCUUCAAAAAAAUCAAACAUGGGAACUAGUUGAUCUUCCACCUGGAAAGAAACCAGUGGGUUUCCGAUGGAUCUACACUAUAAAGUACAAAGCAGAUGGCUCUAUUGAACGAUACAAAGCAAGGCUCGUAGCUAAGGGUUACACCCAAACCUACGGGAUAGAUUAUGCCAAUAUGUUUGCACCGGUAGCAAAAAUUAAUACUAUUCGUAUCUUAUUAUCAUUAGCAGUCAACUUGGAUUGGCCAGUGUAACAGUUCGAUGUAAAGAAUGCUUUCCUCCAUGGAGACCUGUCUGAAAAAAUUUAUAUGGAUAUGCCACCAGGAUGUAGUGGACCAGAACGACUCAAUCAGAAAGUAUGCAAAUUGAAGAAAUCAUUGUAUGGGUUGAAGCAACCCCUAAGAGCAUGGUUCGGGAAAUUCACAAAGGCUAUGGUUCUUUUUGGGUAUAACCAAAGCAAUUCAGAUCAUACCUUGUUCAUUAAAAAAUGACAAGGUAAAAUCACUGCCCUCAUUUUCUAUGUGGAUGAUAUGGUAGUCAUAGGUAACGACGGGGAAGCAAGAGAGGCUCUUCAGAAGUACUUGUCGAGAGAGUUUGAGAUGAAGGAUUUAUGAGCCUUAAAAUACUUUCUUGGAAUUGAGGUUUCUCGAUCUAAGGGAGGAAUUUUCCUGUCUCAAAGGAAAUAUGCUUUAGAUCUAUUAAACGAAACGUGAAUGACAGCUUGUCAGCCUAUUGACACCCCAAUAGAAGAAGGACUGAAGUUUUGUAUUACCUCAGACUAAGUUCCAGUAGACAAAGGAAGAUAUCAAAGGCUGAUUGGAAGAUUGAUGUACUUGUCCCACACAAGGCCAGCUCUUGCUUAUGCAUUGAGUGUUGUAAGUCAGCUUAUUCAUAAUCCCGGAGAACAACACAUGAAAGCAGUAAUGCGGAUCCUAAGGUACCUGAAGUCAAAUCCAGGAAAAGGAAUCCUAUGUUCCAAAAAUGGAGAUUACAGCAACAUAGAAGUUUAUACUGAUGCAGAUUGGGCCCGGUCAGUUAGUGAUAGACGCUCUACCUCAGGAUACUUUACCUUAGUGGGAGGCAACCUUGUCACAUGCUGCUUCACUUGCUGCCAAUCCAGUUCAUCAUUCAAGAACAAAACAUAUAGAGAUUGAUGUUCACUUUGUGAGAGAUAUAAUUUCCAACGGCGGAGUGGAAGUAAGAUAUGUCCCUACUGAAUAUCAGCCUGCAAACAUCUUCACAAAAGCUCUUCCUGCUGAUAUGUUUCAACAGUUGCGAGACAAGCUACAUAUUCUUCCUAGAACAUUGCGCUUGAGGGGGCAUUAUGAAAAUAUUGUAGCAGAGCUACCAAACUUGAGUAAUACGAAUUCAAAGUUGUUAGAUGACAUGGCAGCACACUUGGCAUUCAUUGGUGUUUUGGAAAGUUAAAGUGAUCAACCUUAUCUCUUAGCUUAUCAUUAAUUCAAGCUGCACUUUUGUAUUUAUCAAGAUCAAGAUAAAGAUAACAAUUGUGCUAGGCUUGAUCUUAUUCUUGGCAUUAUCGUGUUUCCUGUAGAGCAUUAUAAAUGUAAUGAUUAUGAGAUGAAUAAAAUAACGAAAAUGUGUUUUGUUUCUUCUUUAAGCUCAUCUUUAUAAUUUAAGUUGGUAUCAGAGCAUGGCGAGCUCCAAUUCUGCGAAAUUAGUCAAUAUGAAUACUGUAAACCAAACACCACAAAUUUCUAAUUUUUUGACUCCUGUCAAAUUGGAUAGGCAAAAUUUUAUGAUAUGGAAGUCUCAAGUGCUACCUUCCAUUCGUGGUAACAAUCUUGAAAGCUUGAUCAAUGGAGCAAAACUUGUACCCACUAAAUUCUUGGUGCAAGUAGAAGAGGAUCAAACAGUAACGACUGUGGAAAAUCCAGAAUAUAUACAAUGGCUGAGACAAGAUCAGCUUUUACUUAGUUGGCUUUUGUCCACUAUGACUGAAUCAGUUUUAAGCAUAGUGGUGCAGUAUACAACCUCUUUUGAGGUUUGGAAUGCCUUGAAGACAUUGUUUGCAUCUCAGUCAAAGGCUAGAAUUUUGUAGCUCAAGAUGCAACUCCAAACCACGAAAAAGAAUGCUAUGACCAUGAGUGACUAUGUCAACAAAAUGAAAAAUUUAGCUAAUAGCCUGGCAAUGGCUGGAAAAUAUGUUACUGAAGAUGAUUUAAUUUCUUAUAUUCUUGCAGGUUUAGGAACUAAAUACGACCCUGUGGUUGUAAAUAUUACAGCAAGAACAAAUGAUUUAUCUCUGCCUGAAGUAUCCUCUCUUUUGCUCAAUCAUGAAAGUCGAAUGGAACAACUCUCAGCUGCUGCAAAUCUUGAGUCUAAAGGCAGUUUUAAUGCAAAUUUUGCAGGAGCUUCUUUUCACAAAAGGAAAGUUAUAAGAAAAGGCUUUAUGUCAGGAAGUUUAUGAGGCAAUGAACGUGGUAGAGGCAAAGGAAGAACCAAUUUUAGCCGUGGUGGAAAUAGGCCAACCUGUCAGAUAUGUGGCAAAUAUGGACAUUCAGGAUAUCAAUGUUUCUUCCGCUUUGAUCGGGGGUUCUCUGCAAGACAAGAGGCAACACAAGCAGGUCAAGCCUCUGCCUAUAUGGCACUCCCUGCUGAAGAAAUAGAUAAUGGAUGGUAUUUGGACAGCGGAGCAACACACCAUGUUACAAAUGAUUUAAACAAUCUGCAGAUUAAGUUAGAAUUUAAGGGAGGUGAGAAGCUGGUAGUAGGUAAUGGUAAAACUUUAGCAAUAUCUCACAUUGGCAGUGCACUUAUUUAUAUUCCAAACCAUGAACCAUUGUUGCUUAAUGACAUUUUAUAUGUGCCCAAAAUCACCAAGAACUUAAUUAGCAUUUCAAAAUUACUUUCUGAUAAUAAACUAAUGCUUGAUUUCUGUGACAAUGUUUGUACUCUUAAGGACAAAGUUCUGGGGAAGAAGCUGCUGCAGCGAAAAAUUGAAAGAGGCUUAUAUCGGCUACCAGUGCUUUCAAGACAAGCCAUUCUAUCUGAUUCAAAAAUUAUUUCCAAUAAAUCUUAUUAGUCUUCUCUUCCAUUUAGCUGUUUCAAUUCUAGCUCAACAAUAAGUUCUGUAAAUGAACAAGAAUUUAUUUCCAAUUCCAAGCCUAGCAGUUUUAUAAAUCUUUUGCACAGAAGGAUGAGACAUCAUCAUCUUGCUGUACUAAAACAAAUUCUACCUUUGUGUAACAAAACAAGUCAGUUAAAUAAAAAUCUCAUUCCUCAAUUCUGUGAUGCAUGUCAACAAGGAAAAAGUCAUAGGCAAACUAUCAAAGCAUCAAAUAGUAGAGCUUCAGAACCUUUAGAAUUAUUGCAUCUUGACUUGUGGGGGCCUGCACCUUUAAUGUCUAGAAAUGGCUACAAAUAUUAUUUGAGUAUUGUAGAUGACAACACACGUUUUACAUGGAUAUUUCCACUUAAAGUUAAAUUACAAGCGUUUGAAGCUUUUAAGUAUUUCAAAGUUCAAGCCGAAAAACAAUUAGGAAAGAAAAUCAAAAGUUUACAAACUGACGGUGGAGGAGAGUUUCAAGCAUUUACAAUUUUUUAAAAGAACAGGGUAUUAUUCACUGACUUUCUUGCCCACACACGCAUCAUCAAAAUGGUAGAGUGGAGCGAAAACACCAACAAAUUGUAGACACUGGUUUAACACUUUUGGCAUAGGCUGGCAUGCCACUCACUUUUUGGUGGGAUGCUUUUCAAACAUCUGUUUAUUUAAUUAAUAGAAUGCCUACUUCCAUCUUAGAAAACAAAUCACCAUUUCAAAUACUUUAUGAUGAAGAAUAGGAAUCAAUAUUAUACUAGGAUUAGUUUCCUUAUUAACUAAAGUUUAAGACUUUUAAAUUCCUUUCUAAUUUAGAAUUUUGUUUCCCUUUCAAUUUAGGAUUUUGUUUUACUUCAUGAAUUAGGAUAAUUAUUACUACUAUAAAUAGCUCCCUCUUGUAGCCUUUAAAGGCAGAGAAUUUUGAGUUUAAUAAUAUUUCAAUUUUCAAAUCUCUUUGUGAGUAUUUGAACAGUUAAUUCUCGGUAUUCUGCGAAAUCAACGAGUCUUAAAUCCCUAAGUUCGCGGUAUUCUUUUGAAUCAACAUGAAUUUAGUUGUUCUUUUAUUCUGGUAUUCUCUAGAAUCAACGGAAUAUUUUGAAUAUUAAACUUCCACUGCAUCACUUUACAAGAAAAUACCUGAUUAUUCUUUUCUAAAAGUUUUUGGAUGUGCUGUAUUUCCUCAUCUUCGAGAUUACAACAAACAUAAAUUAGAUUUUUGAUCAGAUAAAUGUAUAUUUUUAGGCUAUAGUACAGCUCAUAACGGGUAUAAGUGUCUCCACAAGUCAGGAAAAAUUUUUGUAAUGCGACAUGUUGUCUUUAAUGAAUAUGAUUUUCCUUUUAAAAGUGAUCCCUCCUUCAAAAUCUCAAAGAGUUAUCCAAAUCAUGAUUCUAGUACUCUCUUUCAGUCUCCUAUGUUUGCAGGUUUUGAAAGUCCUAGAGCCUAUAAGACUCUCUCGGUUAUUCAUGCAACAGACUCUCUACUAGAGUUGGUUCAUAACACAAUAGUUAUAGAUCAGGCAUCAAGUCAAGAUGAGGAAACCAAUUUUGAAUCCAACACCAAAAGCCCACCUGGAAAAGCCAACCUUGAAUCAAGCACUGAAAUCCAAGCAACUGAAAACACCACACAAUCUUUAUCUAUCCCCGCGUUUAUCAAUCAAGAAGCCGAUCACACAAUCUCUCAACCACCUAGUUCAACUCCUCAUUCUCAACAGCCAACACAUACACAAUCCACUCAUCCAAUGAUCACUCGUGCCAAGGCCGGCAUCUUUAAACCCAAACCUAGACUUUACCUAACAACCUCUCAUACCAAAAUAAGUGUACAUGCCAGUGUUAGUGAAGCUUUGGAAGAUCACAAUUGGCGUAAUGCUAUGACAGAAGAAAUGAAUGCUUUGGCUAGGAAUAACACACGGUGUUUAGUUCAACCUACUUCUGACAUGAAGAUUGUGGGAAAUAAAUGGGUUUUUCGGAUAAAACAAAAGGCUGAUGGUUAGAUAGAGCGAUAUAAGGCUCGGUUGGUUGCAAAAGGAUUUCAUCAGACCCCAGGAAUCGAUUUCAACGAGACUUUUAGUCCUGUUGUUAAAGUUGCAACAAUUCGAUUGGUGUUAAGUAUUGCUGUGAUGAAAAAUUAGGGUGUAAUACAACUGGAUGUGAACAACGCCUUUUUAAAUGGAGACUUAGUAGAAGAUGUUUACAUGAUGCAGCCUGAAGGCUUUAUCAACAAAGCACAACCAAAUCAUGUGUGUAAAUUGAGAAAAGCAUUGUAUGGGCUUAAGCAGGCUCCAAGAGCUUGGUUUGAAAAACUCAAGAGAGCAUUGAGUGACUGGGGUUUCACAAAUUCUAAAUUAGACACAUCACUAUUUAUUUUGCAGCAAGGAAGGGAUAUAAUAUUUGUCCUUAUUUAUGUGGACGAUAUUUUAAUAACAGGAAGUAAAGAAAGUUUGGUGCAAGAAGUUAUUGAACGACUUAAUUGUCAGUUUGCUUUAAAAGUGCUCGGACCAUUAAGCUAUUUCCUUGGUCUUGAAGCUCAUCGCACAGAGAAUGGCCUACAUCUUAGCCAACACAAAUAUAUUUGUGAUCUCUUGAAGCGCACAGAUAUGGAUGGCUGCAAGGAAACAUCUACUCCUAUGAGUGUAGUACCGAAACUUUCAGCUGAAGGUGGUAAGCAAUUUUCUGAUCCUACACUUUAUCGUAGCAUCGUUGGAGCCUUAUUAUACGUAACUAUUACUCGGCCUGAAAUUUCUUAUGCUGUUCAUCGUUUAAGUCAGUAUAUGCAAAAUCCUUUACAGCCGCAUUGGCUUGGGUGUAAAAGAAUCCUUAGAUAUUUACAAGGAACAGCUGAUUAUGGAAUUUAUUAUACUACCAAAGGAAGAAUGACGCUCACAGGCUAUACAGAUGCAGAUUGGGCAAACAAUAUUGAUGAUAGAAAAUCAACUGGAGGCUACUGUAUUUAUCUUGGCAAUAACUUAAUCUCAUGGAGUUCAAAGAAACAAAAUGCAGUAGCAAGGUCUUCAACUGAGUCAGAGUAUCAAGCACUUGCAAAUACCACAGCAGAAAUUUUAUGGCUUCAAUCUGUGCUUAAAGAGUUGCAGGUGCCACUAACUGAAAUUCCAAUUAUUUGGUGUGACAACACUGAAGCUGCUUCACUUGCUGCCAAUCCAGUUCAUCAUUCAAGAACAAAACAUAUAGAGAUUGAUGUUCACUUUGUGAGAGAUAUAAUUUCCAAAGGUGGAGUGGAAGUGAGAUAUGUCCCUACUGAAUAUCAGCCUGCAGACAUCUUCACAAAAGCUCUUCCUGGUGAUAGGUUUCAACAGUUGCGAGACAAGCUACAUAUUCUUCCCAGAACAUUGCGCUUGAGGGGGCAUCAUGAAAAUAUUGUAGUAGAGCUACCAAACUUGAGUAAUACGAAUUCAAAGUUGUUAGAUGACAUGGCAGUACACUUGGUAUUCAUUGGUGUUUUGGAAAGUUAAAGUGAUCAACCUUAUCUCUUAGCUUAUCAUUAAUUCAAGCUGCACUUUUGUAUUUAUCAAGAUCAAGAUAAAGAUUACAAUUGUGCUAGGCUUGAUCUUAUUCUUGGCAUUAUCGUGUUUCCUGUAGAGCACUAUAAAUGUAAUGAUUAUGAGAUGAAUAAAAUAACGAAAAGGUGUUUUGUUUCUUCUUUAAGCUCAUCUUUAUAAUUUAAGUAAAGGGACUUUUGCAUAGCCUCUGGUGUGUGUGUGAUUUCUCUUUCGUUUCCUCAUCAAAUUCUGUAAUUCUUGCUUCGAUAAAAAGCUUUUAAUCUCUUCUGUAGUGUGUGAUCAGUGCGUAAUCAUUUUGAGCAAUAACAGCUUGUGGGUUUUUCCUUCAAACAGUGUCGUUUUGGUCAGUUUGUUAGUUUCUGUGUUCGUCUGAUUCCAUUGCUCUUGUUCUCUGUUCUUGAUCUGUUCGUGGAAUUUUUCUUUGGUUAUUUGUUCUCAAAUUUCAACUGUAUAUAAAGUUUGAACUCUGAUUGCUUAUAAUGUAUUGAUUAAGAAUAAUCCUAAGAGUUCCCGAUUGAAAUUUUUAAUGACUAUUUUUAUUGUUUUGGAUAUACAAAUUGAAUUAAGAAAAAAUAUUGUCAAAUUCAGAGGAUAAGGGGAAAUAAUUAUGCUUCAAAAGGCCAGAGAUUAGAGAAUAAAGAAGCAUUCAUUACUCUAUCAAAAAAAAAAAAAAAAAAAAAGCAUUCAUUACUGAUAUACAAACUGCUUUUAUUUGGAUUUUGGAAGGGGUGAAGUUUUGAACUUCAGUUGUUCCUCUAAAAUCAAAAGCAGCAAUUAAGCGUUCUCAAUUAGAAAGAGCUAAGAAGACUUAUUGGUACCUUACUGAAGCUAACAUUAUGGCACAGUUGUUCAUAUAUAAUGGCUGCUCUGUUAUGCUAGCUUCUCUGUUUUUGCUUCUAUUUUUGCUUACAGUUUUGAACAUAAAUUCUUGCUCAAAUAACCCAUAAUUAAAUAACACUAAUAUGGCUCGUGAAAUCCCAUAAUAGCUAAUUACGCAACUUUCUCCUCCUCCUCAAUUCUGUCUUCCCCUGCUCGUACACUAAAUUCAAAAUUCAAUGCCCCGAAAAACAACACAAGAAAUCUUUGAGUUAAUUCGCGACCAGUUUAUAUAUAGUAGCAAUUGAAAAAGGAAAAAGAAUAAAAGAGUUCAUUAUUAUUCAGACCUUCACUUAUUAGGAAGUUUGUUCUGCUGUUGGGUGAGAUCAAGCUCUCAGCAUAUACUUCCACAUUAUACUUUCUAACAUUUUCUUGAAAGCCAUCAAUCAUAAAAUCUUCAUACUUUUUUCCAUCCUUUGGAUCAAUAAGUACAAAUUUCUCAUCUAAAACAGACAAAAUAAAAUCACUGUCCUUCAUGGAACAUAAUGGCUGCAAUGCCUGAACUGAAUUGGCUAAUGAAAUUUGAGUCCAGGAUUCUCUCAGCCCAUAUUCUUUCAUAAUCCAAAAUUCUUUUCUUUCUCGACAUGGAACAUAGUCUUCUUUUCUUUCUGGACAUAUGUCUCUGUACUUUUCUCUCUCUACUGAUCCACACUUUUUCAUACUUCUAACUAUCAUUUUGUUUUUUUUUUGUUAAGUUGUGAUUUAUUCAAUUAUUUUGUAUUUUUAAUGAAAAUUAUUUAAUAUUUAGUUAGUUUUGAUAUUGAUUAGUGAUUGAAAGUGUAUUUUAGAAGACUUCCGGUCUCUUGGAAAAAGGAAAAAUGGAGACGAAGAAGAAGUGUUCUUGAUUUUUUUGUAGGCAUUAAAGUUAAACGGUUUGAAAUGAUAUUUUGUUUUAAUUUCACUCAUUAAUCUCAUUCAGGAUAAAAUUAUAAAUGCAAAUAAAUGGGGUUUCAUGAGUUUUUUUUAAUAGUGUUAAAAGGUCUACUCACUAAAUAAAUAUGUUUAACCCAAACCAAUGCGAUUAGUAAGUUAUUGGGUUGGGUUGAUCAGGUUAAAAAUUAAAAUUAAAAAUUAAAUAAUUAAAAAAGGCAUAAAAACUAUCUGUUACUUGAAAAUAAAAAGAAUUUCUAAUAGUUAGUUCUAAUGUCCCAUAUCCAAAACAUCCAUAUUAAAUAAAUAUUAUAAGUUAGAAAUACAAUAUCCAAGAAAGAAUGAAUGAAAUACCAUAUUUUUGUUGAGAAUUAAGAGUGUGAUUUUAAUUUUGAUAUUGGAGUCUAAAGUGCCACGUUUAAAUAAUCUCUUUUAUAAAAUAAUAAAAAGAGAUUAAAAAUUAGGUUAGCCAUUUAGGCAUUCAGGGUUUAGCAAUUAAGGAUGAACAUAUUAUUGUUGUUGUUUUUUGUUGUUGUUGUUGUUGUUGUUGUUGUUAUUAUUAUUAUUUAUAUGUUUACUAAUCCAAUUUACGUAUAAGUACAAAAGUUUCAAAUAUUGUCUAUUAUUUUUUUAACAUGCCUAUUCCUUGUGGAUAAUUCUGUCUCAUCACUAAUGUUGUUUCUUGCUUACAAUUUGUAUAGCGUCUCAAAAUAGACAAUAGGGGGAUUUUGAAUUUUUUAAGUCUCAAUAUAGUCUCUUAUCUUGUGAGACAGAUUUUCUUUCAAUAAUUUGGAGGUAAACAUAACAUAACUUUUUGGACUAAAGCCUAGCUCUGCUAAUUAGUAAUUGGUGGUAUCCUUUUCAAGACCUGAGUCUUUAAAUUCGAGUUUUAUAUAGUGCGCAUGUGUAUUUAAUUAAUAUUUUUUUAAAAAAAUUACAUCAAAUACUAAUAUUCAUGACAUAAUUUAGUUCAUAAUGUUUUUUUAAAUACAUCGAAAAUAUAAUUUUUUAACAACUUAUAGGCAUGACAAAUUUCAAGAUAUAAAUAUCAGUCAAAAUAAGUGAAAGAAAUAAUGGUGCCAAUUCUAAUUUCUUAACUAAAUUAAUUACUGCAUGAGCCCCCAAUACGGCACGAGAGUUUGAUGGGCUAACUUGGCACAAGAACAAUAGUUAAUUGAUUUAAGAAAUAAUUCAAUGAAAAAUAUAAUUGAUAAGAAUUUAGUAUUGAAAUGAGUUUUUUUCGAAACACUGAAUUAAUGAUUAUUAAGCAAGAACAAUAAAAAAAAUAAAAUAAAAAAUAAAGAUUAACCAUUGAUAAGCUUCAACAAGAACUUAACACAACCCUCAAUCCUAAUUCAAAUUAUAAAUGUCAUUCAUAUAUUCAUUAUAAAUCAAUAACAAAGGUUAUAAAUGUUUAGAAAUUCUAGAGGGAAGGAAGCUAUCGCCGGGCAAUCAACAACUAAAUUUGAUGUAAUUGUGGCACAAGAUGGAAUAUGAAAACUACACCAUAAUUUCAAAUGCCGCCAUAGACAUUGACUUAUCUACAGUAACAAUGAUCUAAUUAAAAUUAAAAUAAAGUUUAUGGGCAUUUAUUAUAUUUGCCAUUCCUCAUUUGCAAAUAGGGAUAUAAUUAUAAUUUUACUUAGUCAAAGCAAUCAGUAAUUUUUAGGGGUGUUCAAAAUUCAAUCCGAUCCGCUCAAUCCGUCUGAUCCGUAGAAAUCCGAUCCGUAAAAAUCUGAUCUGUGGAUUGGUAGAUUGGAUUGAAUUGAAAAUUUGAUAAUCCGCAAUCGGUGGAUUGGGUAUGGAUCUACUUCUGUAAAUUCGUAAAAAUCCGUGAAUCGGCAAAAAAUAAAAAGUAUUUAUUUAUUAAAAAAUAAAACUUGUAAAUAUGGCAAUAGUACUUACUAGUAAAUAAAUAAGUUAAAAUAUAGUUACAUUAACACUAUAUUAUAUCUUAUCCGAUAAUAAUAAAAAAUAAAAAAUAAUUAAAUAAACAAAUAUAACUUUCUAAAUAGUUAAUUUUCAUGUACUGAUCUAAACGAAUGAGAUUUUUUUUUUUUCAUUUUGGUGUGUUAUGUUUUGAACUUUAAAUGUAAUUUUUAGUUUUAUUUAAACAAGUAAUUUAUUUAAAUCUUAUUUAAUUUUAAAUUUGAUCGGCAAUAAAAUUAUUUAUAUUAAUUUUUUUUUAUUUAGUUAGUUCGUAGAUUGGACAGUAUUAAAAAUUUUCAGUCCGUAAACCAAUUCGCAAAAUGGUGGAUUGGAUAUGGAUUGGGUCAAAUCCGCAUCCAAUCCGCAGAUGUAUGAAUUGAAUUUCACCAAUCCAUGAAUUGGAUUGGAUUAAAAAUUUAUAAUCCGCAAAAUCGUGGAUCAGAUAUGGAUUGAGGUCCAAUCCGUAAAAUUUGAUCCGGAAACACCCCUAGUAAUUUUCUUCAUUAUAGGAGUGAAGUAAAAACAUUUAGAUUUUAAUGUAUGUACGGAAAAAUUUAUCUUUAAAAAUACUUUCUUAAUGUGUGUAUAUAUAUUGAAAUACUCAAACCAAUUUUGGUUAUUAUAUAAUUAAACAAAUUUUAAAAUAUGAAAAAUAUAAUGUAGUUAUAGUGGAUAAACAAUAAGUGAGCGCAAUAUAAUUAAUCAAAUAUCAUGCCAUCAAAAGUUAAUUUUAGAAAUUCCAAAUCCAACAGCCAACACAAUUCUUUUAAAAAAAAGCUGACACAAUUAAUAAAAUUAGUGACAUGAAUUUCACACCAUUGAUAAUAAGCAAUUAGUAUUACUUUCUAAACUUGCUUCAACUGGUCGUUGAUGUCCGGGGUCACCAAAAGUAUAAGCAAUAAUAAGGGGCAUUGGGCAAGAGUGAUGAAUGUUUAGUCGGUGCAUUUGAUUGCUAGAUAUAUAAAGGGCCGAAACUUGAGAUUAUAUUACUUUUACAAAUUUUAAUCCAAUCACAUAUUUAAUGAAAACAAAAUGAGUUAGGAUACUUUAUUUAGAACCCACAUUUUAAUAAGGCUUCAUUUGAUGUAGUUUUUUAAACAGUGAUUAUUUAAGUAAAUUUUCCUCAAUAGAGUUUUUAUCAAACAAAUUUAUUUAUUUAGUUGUCGAUAAGAGUUUUUAUUAAAAAUUAUAAAAUUAUUUAAAUAAACAUGUUUUUUAAAAUUACAUUAUAAAAAUAAUUAAAUAAAAUUAUAAAAGUAAAAUAUAUUUUAGAUAUUUUAAUAUUUAAGAAAAAUUUUCAAUCUCUACUUUCAAAAGCUCAAAUUUUUAGCUUUUAGUUGUAGAGACAAAAUAUUUUAUUUAAUCUUUAAAAGUUAUGCUAAAAACAAUCAAAUAACUACAAAAAUUUUAAUAAGAGUAUAUAAAAUUAAAUGGUAAUUUUUAAAAACCUCCCCUGAGGUUUGGGCUUGUUGCAAGUAGAUGGCGAGAAUCCAUUUAUUUGUAACAAACCCCCUACCGUCAGUUAAUUUUUGCAUUAACCGUUAGUUGACUGUGCAAAGACAAUAUUGUCCCUAAUGACAGUUUGUAGACUGACAUAGCUAAAAAAAAUGCUGAGAUUGUCGGCACGAAAAUCACAAAUAAUUUUUUUUUGACAAUUUUGUCCUUGUUAAUUCCAAGAUUUACAAUGUCAUAAGUAAGGAUUAUGACUAUUUUACCCUCUUAAAAUUAUUGAUAAUUCCUUAAAAUUUCUACAAAAAAGAUAAAAUUAAAAACUUGAAGAAAAAUAAAGUUCUCAAGCCGGCUAACCAAACACAUAGAAUAAAAAAUCCAUCGUUUGACAACAAAAACAACUUUCCAUAAACCCAAACAAAAAUAAACAAGUCCCCAUUACUCUAAUUGGCUUUGCUUGGAGCUGUUACUAUUGUGCAUACAUUUCUAGGCAAAGCAAAAUGACCCCAUGAUAUAAACCUUAUAAAACAUGCCUCCACUAUUCUUAAUUUUGGUAUAAUAAUAAUAAUAAUCACAAAAAAUUAAUUGAAAACUUGACUAAUUAUCUUUGGUGGAGAAUUUUAAACCGAAACCGAUUCAGGAACCUUAAAUUGAUCAAAAGGAAGCUAAUAAUGACAAAAAAGUAACCGAUCAAAAAUCAUUAAGCAUAAAAAAAUAUUGAAUUUAAAUAACUAAAAAUGCCAUCGGAAAUUGAAAUUAAUUAUUUAACAUAUAGCAUGAAAACAAAUCUUCACUAUUGGUGCUAGGCGGCUGUCGUUUAGCUUGGUUCUAAGAGGUGGCAGUCAGUCAACUUCGAGACGGUGCGUUCGAAGUCAACUAAGCUGCAGCAGAGGUUGCAGGGGGCAGAUUGCAGCGAAGUCGCGGUGGAGCAGAGGUCGCGUCGCGGUGGAGAAGAGGUCGCGUUGCGCUGGCUUGGCUUCACGGUGGUGGGAUGGCUGGGCGGGCUGGCCAGCUGUGUGCGCAUUGUAUAUGAUUGUUUUUCACUUUUUUAAUAUUUUCUUGUGCAUUAGUUCAGAUUAGAUUAGUGAGUUUGUGUGUGUGUUUGCAGUUGAUUUGGUUAAGAUAUUUAGGUUAAAAUAAUUUUUUUUAAUAAAUUUUUUUUUUCAAAAUGUCAACAAUGCCCACAACUACCCAAAUGGCAACUAAGCAGAGUAAAAACGUAGGGGUUUUUUUUUAUAAAUAAAUAGAUUCUCGUCAUCUAUUUGCAACAAACUCAAAUCUCGGGGGAGGUUUUUAAAAAUUACCCUAAAAUUAAAUAAGCAUUUAUUAAUAAUCACUUUGGUAUACUUAUCUAAUGACCAUAAGUGUUUAUUUAAUCUCAUAAGUUCUUAUUUAAUCUCAUGAGCUCUUUUCAAUUUUUUUUGUUGUUUGUUUUUUAGUAGAGUUUUUGAAAAUUAAAUAAACUAUUUUGUCUCUACUAGAAAAAACUCAAAUUUUAGAUUUUUGUGAGUAAAUGUUUAAUUUUUUAAAAAAAUAUUAAAAUAUCUAAGAUAUCUUUCCUUUAUUUCAUAAUCUUAUUUCAUUUUUUCAUAACAUAACUUUCAAUAACUUACCUAUUAAAAUAAUUUCACAAUUUCUAAUAAAAACUCUAAUUGACAAUUAACAAUUUUUUUUUGUUUGUAAAAACUCUAUUUAUAAAAAAUCUAAUAAAAAUUCUAUUUAAAUAAAUUAUAUUUGAAAAGGUGUACUAAACCAACCUAAGAUAAAAACAAAAAUUUUUACAUCCAGACAAUUAAGCUUAAAACAAUUUCAAAUGAAUUUUAGACUAAUCAAAGUACAAUACGUACCAAGUUUGGUAACUUAUUGACAUCUUCUCAUAUAACCUUCGAUCAAGUCGAUUCUCACCUGACGACUAAUUGGUACAUCACCGUUGUUCUCUAUACUCGCAUGCAUCCGAUCACAAAUCUCACUCCAAUUGUCGUCUUUCUUCGGCGUUUUAGCACAUCCUUCUUGAAUUUCCCGCAUUUCGUUCCCUCCUGUUACAAGUCUCCGGUCAGGUCAGUUCUCUUGACGAUUAAUUCGGCAAAUCUCGAAUCUCUUCUCGCGUCGUUUCACUUCAAUUUUUUGUGUCUCCUUUCAGUUUUAGUGAUUGAAUCAAUUUUAUUGCAGUCUGAGAGAAAUUAAGUAAUGCUCUUGGAUUUAAAUUUUUUUUGCUUUCGACUUUAGAUCUCGAAAGUCAAACUCUGCUACGAAUCCUUAGAUUCUCAAUGUUUAUAAUCUUAUUUGUGUUUGACCAGGUAACUGGAUCGUGAAAUUCGUCGUUUUGUAUCAAUUCAAGCUUUCGCGAGCUCAUGGAAUCACCUGGUGAGUUGUGGUGAAACGUUAUCGUUUCAAUUUUCGCUUAAUUCUUUAUUGCAUAUUUUUUCUCUAACAUUUCAGUUUAAUUUAGAAAAGAAAGAGGACCCAAAAAGAGAGAGAGAGAGAGAGACUCUACCAUACUCAAUUCCUUGCUCAUUCUGAUUUGGCCUGAAUGUUGGCAUUGACUAUUAUUUGUUUUCAUUUCGAUUUAAUUCUCAUUUAGACAGUCUUUACUAACGGUCAAUAAUAGUUUAAGGAAAAUGAUAAUAGGGAUUCUGCAAUAAUCUUUUUAAGGAAAAUGAUAAUAGGGAUUCUGCAAUAAUCUUUUUAAGGGAUGUAUAACUUAUUAAUCAGAGUCCUGUUAUUAUGGUUUGACACUACUGACAUAUUGUGUUGGUAUUUAUUUGUACUUCCCUUGGUUGAAUUAUUUGCUGUCCCCAUGCCAUUCGAUAUGGUGCUACUUGGUUUUUGAUCAUCCAUGACGCUAUAUAUAUGUAAAGGAUGAAUUGAUUGUUUUGGCUUGUAUUCUCACAUUUUAUGAUUGAUCGAUGGAAAGGUCUUCAUGUAUUAAAUUCAACCUCACAAGCGUAAGAUUGACAGAUUCUGGGCAAAUUUUCAGGAAAAGAAACUAGACUUCAUGGAAGCAAUGAAGCUUGAAAUUGAACGUCUGCAGCUGAAAGGGAUAGAGCUUUAUUGUCAAUUGGAACUGAUCCUGCCUCUAUAAAUCCAAAUGUAUUGCUUGAUGAAUCUUACAUGGGAAGACUGUCGAGUAGCAACCACUCUUGCAUUACUUGGCCAAACUUCCCUAGAAGACAAAAUUGUUGGUGCAAUGGCCUUGAGAAUAGUGAUGAUAGUGUUUUAGACUUCUGGAAUAUUACUAGAAUCGGAGAGAGUUGUUCUGGUGGCGCGUGCAAGGUUCGUGCAGAAACUAAGGUGCCUGCUCUUGCUUCCUCAACUGCAGCAUCUGUUGGAGCUUCACAAUCCCCUUUGUUGUGUUCUCUGUUGUGUUCUCUGUUGUGUUCUCAAUGUGAAAGAAAAGUUUGCAAAGUUUGUUGUGCAGGAAGAGGAGCUCUACUGUUUUCAAAUUAUAAAUCAAGGGAUGUGACCAACUACAAUGGCUUCUCAAGUCAGAGUGGAUCAAGCCAUGGAAGCCAAGUUGAUGUAUCUACCAGUCGUUCACUAACACUGGAUGGCGUUAUCUGUAAACACUGCUGCCAUGAGAUUGUGCUUGAUACAAGUUCACAACACCAUUACAAAGGAUUCAAAAUUCCCACACGAAAACAUCAAUGUACAGAUUAUAAACAAUCCGAAUUGGACACAAGAAAAACCCUUCAAUGGAUUGCUUGCCUUCCCAAUGCUAUAUACUGUGCAAACUGCGCACUGUCCAAGAAAAUGUUUUCAAUUUAGUGUAUUUUCAAAAUGCUUAUUUUCUCAGAAUAUAUAAAAAAAAAAAAAGAAUUCUUACAUGUUUCAUCAGCAUGAUUAAAAUCAAAGAAGAAAGCGAGACAUAAUGUCUCUGACAUAAUAAAAUUACAAAAAUUUAAAAAAAAAAAAGUUAAAACAUGUAAUCUUCAUAAGCAUAUAAUAAAAUAACACUUCCACAAAUUACUACAAUUUCAUGCAGUAGAGAUUGAAGAGUUGAAUUCCACUUAUAGACACCGACCUCUUAUUUUGUCUAAUGUUAACAAUGAAAAUAACAACAGUAAUGAAAACAACAACAGAAUACAACAACAGAAAACAACAAUCCGCUCUGCAAAUUCUCUUGGGACUUGGUUCCAAUUCCUCUUCAUCCGAAGUUCCACUCGAAUCAAAUUCACUUGCAGCAGUUCCACUCGCGCUUGGCAAAUCAUCCAAUUUCCAAACUUCGGUAGCAAAAUUGAGAGUAAAAGUGUUGGCUUUGGUCUCGCUGGGAUUUGCAUAUACUGGACAUACUCCGUAACGUUUUACCUUGUGACCCUUUUGGUUUUGGUAACAAUUAUUGAAGAACUUAAGUGAGACAGUUGUAUGAUGGUAACCAUCAGGAAAGCCAACAUUCAAGCAAGGUUUAAAACCAAGUAUGACAUGAUCUGAAUCAAGGGAGUAUUUAUUUCUAACACUUGUGGUUGCGGGCCCACUGAAACCUAGAUCAACAUGUUUGGUUUCAGAGAGAGUCUUUAUUUCUAAGUCGAGUUGAGAGCGGCCGAAAACAUUGCAGCAAUAACAAGAACCAACUUUCUUAAAAUUAAGAACCGCACAAAAAGCAAACCCGAUUAAGUUUCUGCAAGAAGAGUGCGGUGGCAGUUGAAUACCUAUCGAAGAUCCUGAACUUUGAUUGUUGAACCAGUCAGGAAUUUCGCUCCCAGGUAAAACAAUUAGGGAUGUCCUGAGUUCAGAAAGUUUCUGUGAAAUGACAUUUAAAAAAAGAAAAUUGUAAAAUGAAAACCAUGAUUUCAGAUAUAACAAAGAGGGACAGAGUAAACAAGAGAGGGAACUUGAUGCGUUCUAAAUGUUCCAUUUUCUCCAAGAUUUCUGGGAAACGCUCAAGGUUCAAGCAGCCAUGAAGAAAAAGCUCAACCAAAGAUUUCAAUUUACAAAACCUAGUUGAAAUCCUCUUCAGCCGUUCGCAAUCCCUCAAAUCCAACUUUUCAAGAUCAGUUAGGCACUCUAUUGAUGAUGGAACUUCUUCUAUUGCAGACUGGCUUAAGUAUAGCCGUGUAAUUUUCCCAGAAAUCUGUGGAAACUCUACGAGAUUAACACAAUAGGAGAAAUUAAUAGUUACUGGACAAACAAAAUGAAGAUUGCUUGGAAAAGACCUAAGACUUUUGCAGCCCACAAAAUCCAACCUACUGAGAUACUUGAAAUUCUGGAUAGAUGAGGGAACACAAGCCAUUUCUCCUUCCCAAAUUUGCUCAACUUUACUAAAACGCAAAUUCAGUCCAACAAGGUUCUUUGGCUUGAAAUUUGAUGGCAGUGUCCUUAAUGGAUAUGUGUCCCAAUGAAGAUAUCUCAAUUUUUUAGGAAGAUAAUCUAGGCCAUUUGGAAGCUGCACUUUAGAGUACGAAAGUUGCUCUUCAAUGCUCAUACUUAGAAGCUUUUCAAUCUCAUACUUAGGUACAUAAAAUUUGAGCAAUCUCAGAUUAGACAUAUUUGUGAAGGCUCCGGGGUCUAAAUUGAUGCCUUUUAUUUUGGACAAAUCCAAAAAUAUGCCUUCAAUUGCAUCGGUCCC
This 25616-nucleotide long non-coding RNA is filed under the name Citrus maxima (pomelo). RNAcentral's name for it is "long non-coding RNA (CMAX_LNC000739)". The stretch from base 10518 to 10656 matches the Rfam family "Small nucleolar RNA Z247". The record is from RNAcentral. Lineage: Eukaryota; Viridiplantae; Streptophyta; Magnoliopsida; Sapindales; Rutaceae.